UACAGAGGGUGCAAGCGUUAAUCGGAAUUACUGGGCGUAAAGCGUGCGUAGACGGUUAUUUAAGUCAGGUGUGAAAGCCCCGGGCUCAACCUGGGAAUUGCAUUUGAGACUGAAUAGCUAGGGUGCGGAAGAGGGAAGCGGAAUUUCCGGUGUAGCGGUGAAAUGCGUAGAUAUUGGGAGGAACACCAGUGGCGAAGGCGGCUCACUGGACCGGUACUGACGCUGAGGCGCGAAAGCGUGGGGAGCAAACAGG
RNAcentral lists this ribosomal RNA (253 nucleotides) under uncultured bacterium. RNAcentral describes it as "partial 16S ribosomal RNA". It matches the Rfam family "Bacterial small subunit ribosomal RNA", at positions 524 to 776 of the family's 1533-position model. The record is from RNAcentral.